Molecule: ribosomal RNA, 465 nt
Filed under: uncultured bacterium
Lineage: Bacteria
Description: bacterial SSU rRNA
Rfam family: Bacterial small subunit ribosomal RNA
Source: RNAcentral
UGGGCUUGACUCCCACGAACCUGCCGAAAGCCGGGAGUGCCCGCAAGGGAGCGCAGAGACAGGUGGUGCAUGGCUGUCGUCAGCUCGUGUCGUGAGAUGUUGGGUUAAGUCCCGCAACGAGCGCAACCCUCACCCUUUGUUGCCAUCAGGUUAUGCUGGGCACUCUAAGGGAACUGCCUCGGUUAACGAGGAGGAAGGUGGGGAUGACGUCAAGUCAUCAUGCCCCUUACGCUCUGGGCUACACACGUGCUACAAUGGCCAAUACAAAGGGCUGCAAACCCGCGAGGGCAAGCCAAUCCCAAAAAAUUGGUCUCAGUCCAGAUUGUAGGCUGCAACCCGCCUGCAUGAAGGAGGAAUCGCUAGUAAUCGUGGAUCAGCAUGCCACGGUGAAUACGUUCCCGGGCCUUGUACACACCGCCCGUCACACCACGAAAGUCUGCUGUACUCGAAGUCGCUGAGAAUCUC